AAUCGUCACUCUUCUCAUGCCUGGUUUUGACAAAUCAGAAAUCAAGCUAUAUCAAUUUAGAGGAGGGUCUGAGUUGUUGGUGGAGGCCGGUGAUCAGAGACGUGUGAUUCGUCUACCAUCUCAACUUCAAGGGAAGGUUGGAGGUGCUAAAUUUGCAGAUAGAAGUCUUGUCAUCACAAUGAGAUAGCAGAUGAAAUCAAGAAACCUCACCUACAUAUUUAGCUACAAGCAUGCAGCUAGAGUCACUUCACAUCAAAUGUUG
RNAcentral lists this unclassified non-coding RNA (262 nucleotides) under Hevea brasiliensis (rubber tree). The record is from RNAcentral. Lineage: Eukaryota; Viridiplantae; Streptophyta; Magnoliopsida; Malpighiales; Euphorbiaceae.